Molecule: ribosomal RNA, 250 nt
Filed under: uncultured bacterium
Lineage: Bacteria
Description: partial 16S ribosomal RNA
Rfam family: Bacterial small subunit ribosomal RNA
Source: RNAcentral
UACGGAGGGUGCAAACGUUGCUCGGAAUCAUUGGGCGUAAAGCGCAUGUAGGCGGUCUUUUAAGUCAGGUGUGAAAGCCCUGGGCUCAACCCAGGAAGUGCACUUGAAACUGAAAGGCUAGAGUACGGAAGAGGGUCGUGGAAUUCCCGGUGUAGAGGUGAAAUUCGUAGAUAUCGGGAGGAACACCAGUGGCGAAGGCGGCGACCUGGGCCGAUACUGACGCUGAGAUGCGAAAGCGUGGGGAGCAAAC